This 465-nucleotide ribosomal RNA is filed under the name uncultured bacterium. RNAcentral describes it as "partial 16S ribosomal RNA". It matches the Rfam family "Bacterial small subunit ribosomal RNA", at positions 338 to 795 of the family's 1533-position model. The record is from RNAcentral.
CCUACGGGAGGCAGCAGUAGGGAAUCUUCCACAAUGGGCGAAAGCCUGAUGGAGCAACGCCGCGUGGGUGAAGAAGGUCUUCGGAUCGUAAAACCCUGUUGUUAGAGAAGAAAGUGCGUGAGAGUAACUGUUCACGUUUCGACGGUAUCUAACCAGAAAGCCCCGGCUAACUACGUGCCAGCAGCCGCGGUAAUACGUAGGUGGCAAGCGUUAUCCGGAUUUAUUGGGCGUAAAGGGAACGCAGGCGGUCUUUUAAGUCUGAUGUGAAAGCCUUCGGCUUAACCGGGGUAGUGCAUUGGAAACUGGGAGACUGGAGUGCAGGAGAGGAGAGUGGAACUCCAGGUGUAGCGGUGAAAUGCGUAGAUAUAUGGAAGAACACCAGUGGCGAAAGCGGCUCUCUGGUCUGUAACUGACGCUGAGGUUCGAAAGCGUGGGUAGCAAACAGGAUUAGAUACCCUGGUAGUC